CGGAGGGUGCAAGCGUUAAUCGGAAUUACUGGGCGUAAAGCGCACGCAGGCGGUCUGUCAAGUCGGAUGUGAAAUCCCCGGGCUCAACCUGGGAACUGCAUUCGAAACUGACAGGCUAGAGUCUUGUAGAGGGGGGUAGAAUUCCAGGUGUAGCGGUGAAAUGCGUAGAGAUCUGGAGGAAUACCGGUGGCGAAGGCGGCCCCCUGGACAAAGACUGACGCUCAGGUGCGAAAGCGUGGGGAGCAAACAGGAUUAGAUACCCUGGUAGUCCACGCUGUAAACGAUGUCGACUUGGAGGUUGUUCCCUUGAGGAGUGGCUUCCGGAGCUAACGCGUUAAGUCGACCGCCUGGGGAGUACGGCCGCAAGGUUA
This 371-nucleotide ribosomal RNA is filed under the name uncultured organism. Its description in RNAcentral is "bacterial SSU rRNA". It matches the Rfam family "Bacterial small subunit ribosomal RNA", at positions 526 to 896 of the family's 1533-position model. The record is from RNAcentral.